GAGUUUGAUCGUGGCUCAGAGCGAACGCUGGCGGCAGGCCUAACACAUGCAAGUCGAACGGACCCUUCGGGGUUAGUGGCGGACGGGUGAGUAACACGUGGGAACGUGCCUUUGGGUUCGGAAUAGCUCCUGGAAACGGGUGGUAAUGCCGAAUGUGCCCUUCGGGGUAAAGGAUUUAUCGCCUUUAGAGCGGCCCGCGUCUGAUUAGCUAGUUGGUGAGGUAACGGCUCACCAAGGCGACGAUCAGUAGCUGGUCUGAGAGGAUGACCAGCCACACUGGGACUGAGACACGGCCCAGACUCCUACGGGAGGGCAGCAGUGGGGAAUCUUGCGCAAU
Molecule: ribosomal RNA, 337 nt
Filed under: uncultured microorganism
Description: bacterial SSU rRNA
Rfam family: Bacterial small subunit ribosomal RNA
Source: RNAcentral